This 1336-nucleotide long non-coding RNA is filed under the name Androctonus crassicauda. The record is from RNAcentral. Lineage: Eukaryota; Metazoa; Arthropoda; Arachnida; Scorpiones; Buthidae.
CAAUGAAGUGUAAAUGUUUGCACUACAUUACACUUCAUUUACUAUCGUAUUUACACUUCAUUUACUAUCGUAUUUGUUUACAAUUUUAAUAGUAUUGAUAAAAAUAUUUACACUUCAUUUACUAUCGUAUUCGUUUACAAUUUUAAUAGUAUUGAUGUGAGAUCAUAUCUAUCAUAAUGUAUUUGCUAACAUCAGAAAUUUGGAACUUCAGUUAGUUGUAGUAAUACAGUUGAUUAACAGCUGGAGGAAUUAGCAUAUAGAUUAUGUAUGAAUAGCUUUAUGAUUCAAAUAUGAUAGUUAAUUUUGAAUUCGGUGGGUCAGAUUAUAUAAAAAAUAAAAUACAAGUAUACAUAGAAAGAUGGUUGUUUUUCUGUGGAUAGAAAACAUCUGCCUGAAGAAAAUGUCAUCAAAUAUAAAUUAAUAAAUGUAGUCAAUGAGUUAAUUUUUAAUUAGUGGGAUGUCUGAUUUCACACCAGUAUCUUUUCAUAUGGAAAUCAUGGAACAUUUACAGAAAAUAUACUAUAAUAUUGGAACAGUAUAAUAUAUAUUGUUCCAAAAUAAAUAUUAGUAGUGGAUAGUCUUUAAAUGUACAUUAUUUCCAACUUAUGAUGGCAUCAACUGACUACCUUGAGGUUCAGAUCAAACUAUAUCAUAAGCCAAGGAUUUUCAUGAUUUGUAUUUUAUAAAUAUAUUUAUGCAUUGAAUAUCUAGCAUUUAAAAGUAUAUAAGUCUAUUUCAAAGAUUUUAUUUAUUAAUUAAGAAGUAAAUCAGACCAAAUGAACUUAAUUUAUUCUGUCUUUUACUAAUAGAAUUAUAAUAAUAAUUUUUGUUUUAUGUUAUAUAAAUAUGAUUUAAUUCAGUUCUACAUACUUCAGAUCUUUGAAAUUGUACUGUUCUAUUCUUCAUGGAAUCACUGUCUUCCCAGAAAAAUACAAAAAAAUAUAACUGAUUAUAUAAGAUAUGCAAAUUUGUUGAGAAUAUUUAAAAUUUGGAUGAAUUUUAUAAUUCAUUUCCAUAAUGAUUUGACUAUCAUUAAAUCUCCAUGUUAGAACUUUACUAAGAAUUCAAGGUUCUUCCCAUCAAAAGAAGCUAGACUUCUUAGAAAAGUUAACAAUUAUGAUGAUAAAUAUUUAGCAGAGAUGCUUGAGAUUCUAAAAAGACAAAAACAUGAAGACUUUAUUAAUGAUAGACCUCUGAAAAUGUUUCUCUAACAAUUAUCUAUAAAUUUCUAAAAAUUUUAAGGUUUGUUCAACUUUUAUAAUUACAAUGAAAAACAGCACUGUUUGGCAGUAAAUACUUUCUUUAUAGUAAACAGACCAGGUUCAGGAAACGAAAG